UCUGACUUCUCUUUCAACUAAAGAUCAGAGUACUGAGGAAGGAGUCAGCCCACUCACUUUCUGAACUUGUUACAUGUUCGAAGGUUCUCUGUUUUAUGAUCUUGUGUAUCCUGGAGGAGAUAGAUCCUGGACAGGGACUCCCAGCUUGGGAACCUGGAGGAGUAUAGCUCUGCACCAACAGCGGAAACAUGGAGCUAAUGUGUUCCAUCUUCUCUAUGGACAAAAAUCAUUACUAUUCAUACCCCAAGAAACAGGUCAUUUUCCAGAUUUCCAUCCCCACCUCCAAAAGAGUUUGUAAGUAUUAGUUACCUUAGUAGAGGGAGAGAGUCAGGUGUUAAUCAUUGAAGAACCUUGUAGAGCUUUGCUAGGCAUCAGAAGAUCAGGAUUAACUGGGGAGUACUUUAUUGUGGAUUUUCAAGGAGAGCUAAAGCUCUCAUUUAUCAUAUACAAUCCAUACCAGUGCCUGAAGGAUUAACACAAUUUUGAGCUUCACCACAGAGAAGUAAAAUGGCAUCCCUUACGUAUAGAAAUGCAGUUACAGGAAGCGCUGUGCUGUGGGCUGGGGGAAAUCACACAGCACGAGGGCAUCGGUCUCUAGCCUUCACUAGGAAUAAUAUCUUCACAAUCCUGUCUCUUCCCAGCACUUCCAUUUAGGUCUCUUCCCAAAGAGCGUAGUGGCCCCGUCAAAAUGCUUCUGGGAGGAAUCUGAGGCAAAGCCCUAAUUAAGCAAGGAAUUAUUUUGAUUUUGUGUCUGGGAGAUAGAGAUUGCCCAUGAGAGGAAUAAUGAAAGUCUUGAGAUUUGAAAAGUAAUGUAUUGGUAUCAGAAUUUGUGGCCCUGGUGGCACACCCAGUCUUGGAAAUGUCCAGCAGACAGUAGAUUUGUGAUGCAUCAGGACAGCAGAGUGCUGGAGGCUCAGGGCUGUGACAGGUACAGUUGGGGGAGGUGCUUUGAAUGAGCCAACCACAUCCUGAAGUAGUUAUGAUCCAGUCCAGUCAAUCUUCUGUAGAGAAUUAAUGCUCACCUUUGGAAGGAGGUCCCAUGAGCAGUGACAGAGAGCAAUAAAUAUCACUGUUGGGGCACUCUCCACCUUGUGGAACUCAGAGGAACUAGGAUGCCCCGCCCCUCUGUUCAUGCCCACAAGGGCCUCAUCCGGUGAAGCCUCCUCCCCGCCACCCUGCCAUGGCCACCAGGCUCCUCUGCUGUGUGGCCCUUUGUCUCCUGGGAACAGAGUUUACAGAUGCUGGAGUCAUCCAGACACCCAGGCACAAGGUGAC
Long non-coding RNA from Callorhinus ursinus (northern fur seal), 1275 nucleotides. RefSeq lists it as uncharacterized. NCBI's taxonomy places the organism in Eukaryota, Metazoa, Chordata, Mammalia, Carnivora, Otariidae. The record is from RefSeq and is a predicted model, not a curated record.